RNAcentral lists this unclassified non-coding RNA (319 nucleotides) under Thermochaetoides thermophila DSM 1495. Its description in RNAcentral is "RNA (319-MER) from Chaetomium thermophilum var. thermophilum DSM 1495 (PDB 8I9W, chain C2)". The stretch from base 2 to 155 matches the Rfam family "5.8S ribosomal RNA". Lineage: Eukaryota; Fungi; Ascomycota; Sordariomycetes; Sordariales; Chaetomiaceae. The record is from RNAcentral.
AAACUUUCAACAACGGAUCUCUUGGUUCUGGCAUCGAUGAAGAACGCAGCGAAAUGCGAUAAGUAAUGUGAAUUGCAGAAUUCCGUGAAUCAUCGAAUCUUUGAACGCACAUUGCGCCCGCCGGUAUUCCGGCGGGCAUGCCUGUUCGAGCGUCAUUUCAACCAUCAAGCCCUGGGCUUGUGUUGGGGACCCGCGGCUGCUCGCGGGCCCUGAAAAGCAGUGGCGGGCUCGCUAGUCACACCGAGCGUAGUAGAACUUCUAUUCGAUCUCGCUCAGGGCGUGCGGCGGGUGCCAGCCGUAAAACCCCAGCUUCUUCUAA